Molecule: non-coding RNA, 521 nt
Organism: Cinara cedri
Lineage: Eukaryota; Metazoa; Arthropoda; Insecta; Hemiptera; Aphididae
Source: the annotation of a GenBank genome assembly
UUUUAUGGCUUUUAUAAAAAUCGAUAUUUGUCCGUUAUUAAAUUCUGAAUACAACGAAGAAGCUAUAAUAGUUUCACAAAUAUGUAUCUAUUUUUCCUUUGGAAUACAUUUUUACGGUCAGUAAAAAUAUUCCGAUUUGUCCACGUUAUACCGUUAACUAUGCGGAUUUUUCUUUUGAUAAUACUUUAUUUGAAUAACUUUUCGAAUAAGUUUCAGUUCACUGAUACCUACGUUAUUUUCUGACGUUUUCUUUGGUUCGAACCCUGGGUUCUUCUGUUGUUUUUGUUGUUAUUGCUUGCUUUUUGUUGACUUCUGGAUUACUUUGGCAAUAGGGAAAUUUAACGCCAAAAAUAUUACACCGCUCACGAUCGGUUUUUCGUUUGAAAAGAUAUAUCGUCGUAUAUACAGUGGACAAUAAAUUAUAAGCCAAAUACAAUUACUCUUUACCUAUAUUUUAUCUUCCCAACAAUACUGAUCUACCCGUGAGCAUUAUCAAUUUUUUUCUAAUUAUUAUGAUCAAU